This is a long non-coding RNA of Oncorhynchus tshawytscha (Chinook salmon), 952 nucleotides long. NCBI's taxonomy places the organism in Eukaryota, Metazoa, Chordata, Actinopteri, Salmoniformes, Salmonidae. The record is from Ensembl.
GAAGAAGGCGCAGCAGCGCCUCUUCAACCUCAGGAGGCUUAAGAAAUGUUCUUGUCACCAAAAGCACUCACAAACUUCUACAGAUGCACAAUCGAGAGCAUCCUGUCGGGCUGUAUCACCACCUGGUACGGCAGCUGCUCCGCCCACAACCGUAUGGCUCUCCAGAGGGUAGUGAGGUCUGCACAACGCAUCACCGGGGGCAAACUACCUGCCCUCCAGGACACCUACACCACCCGAUGUCACAGGAAGGCCAAAAAGAUCAUCAAGGAGUUCAACCACCCGAACCACGGCCUGUUCACCUUGCUAUCAUCCAGAAGGCGAGGUCUGUACAGGACCUGAGCCCUAGGACCAUGCCUCAGGACUACCUAGUCUGAUGACUCCUUGCUGUCCCCAGUCCACCUGGCUGUGCUGCUGCUCCAGUUUCAACUGUUCUGCCUGCGGCUAUGGAACCCUGACCUGUUCACCGGACAUGCUACCUGUCCCAGACCUACUGUUUUCAACUCUCUAGAGACAGCAGGAGCGGUAGAGAUACUCUGAAUGAUCAGCUAUGAAAAGCCAACUGACAUUUACUCCUGAGGUGCUGACCUGUUUGCACCCUCGACAACCACUGUGAUUAUUAUUAUUUGACCCUGCUGGUCAUCUAUGAACAUUUGAACAUCUUGGCCAUGUUCUGUUACAAUCUCUACCCGGCACAGCCAGAAGAGGACUGGCCACCCCUCAUAGCCUGGUUCCUCUCUAGGUUUCUUCCUAGGUUCUGGCCUUUCUAGGGAGUUUUUCCUAGCCACCGUGCUGCUUCACCUGCAUUGCUUGCUGUUUGGGGUUUUAGGCUGCGUUUUGUGACAUCAGCUGAUGUAAGAAGGGCUUUAUAAAUACAUUUGAUUGAAUGCCACUCAGACAUUGCUCAUCCUAAUUAGAGGUCGACCGAUUAUUAUUUUUCAAUGCCGAUACCGAU